This 497-nucleotide ribosomal RNA is filed under the name uncultured bacterium. RNAcentral's name for it is "partial 16S ribosomal RNA". It matches the Rfam family "Bacterial small subunit ribosomal RNA", at positions 28 to 507 of the family's 1533-position model. The record is from RNAcentral.
GAUGAACGCUGGCGGCGUGCCUAAUACAUGCAAGUCGAGCGAACGGACGAGAAGCUUGCUUCUCUGAUGUUAGCGGCGGACGGGUGAGUAACACGUGGAUAACCUACCUAUAAGACUGGGAUAACUUCGGGAAACCGGAGAUAAUACCGGAUAAUAUUUUGAACCGCAUGGUUCAAAAGUGAAAGACGGUCUUGCUGUCACUUAUAGAUGGAUCCGCGCUGCAUUAGCUAGUUGGUAAGGUAACGGCUUACCAAGGCAACGAUGCAUAGCCGACCUGAGAGGGUGAUCGGCCACACUGGAACUGAGACACGGUCCAGACUCCUACGGGAGGCAGCAGUAGGGAAUCUUCCGCAAUGGGCGAAAGCCUGACGGAGCAACGCCGCGUGAGUGAUGAAGGUCUUCGGAUUGUAAAACUCUGUUAUUAGGGAAGAACAGAUGUGUAAGUAACUGUGCACAUCUUGACGGUACCUAAUCAGAAAGCCACGGCUAACUACGUG